This 25-nucleotide non-coding RNA is filed under the name Mus musculus (house mouse). Lineage: Eukaryota; Metazoa; Chordata; Mammalia; Rodentia; Muridae. The record is from RNAcentral.
UAGAGAAGGGAUUGUGAUGACCCUG